This 468-nucleotide ribosomal RNA is filed under the name uncultured bacterium. RNAcentral's name for it is "partial 16S ribosomal RNA". It matches the Rfam family "Bacterial small subunit ribosomal RNA", at positions 28 to 507 of the family's 1533-position model. The record is from RNAcentral.
GACGAACGCUGGCGGCGUGCUUAACACAUGCAAGUCGAACGGAAAGGCCCUGCUUUUGUGGGGUGCUCGAGUGGCGAACGGGUGAGUAACACGUGAGUAACCUGCCCUUGACUUUGGGAUAACUUCAGGAAACUGGGGCUAAUACCGGAUAGGAGCUCCUGCUGCAUGGUGGGGGUUGGAAAGUUUCGGCGGUUGGGGAUGGACUCGCGGCUUAUCAGCUUGUUGGUGGGGUAGUGGCUUACCAAGGCUUUGACGGGUAGCCGGCCUGAGAGGGUGACCGGCAGCAAUGGGACUGAGGUGAGGCGGAGAAGACUACGGGGGGCAGCAGUAGGGAAGAUUGUACAGUGGGGGGAGGCAGGAUGAAGGAACGACGCGGGGGGGAGGAAGACGGUCGGGGUGUCAACAACUUCCGCCCGUGAAGAAGAGGGAGUGACGGUAACGGGGAAAGAAGCACCGGCUAACUCCGUG